UAAUAAGUGUUUUAUGGCACUUUUUAAGUCCAUAUCCACCUUGUGUGCAAUGUCAGUCGAUCUUCUUCAUGGAGAUCGACCAAACAUCAACCUUUAUUUUUAACUCUUUGUCUGAAAAAUAUUAUGAAUAAACAAUUCAAAAUA
This 144-nucleotide unclassified non-coding RNA is filed under the name soil metagenome. RNAcentral describes it as "partial internal transcribed spacer 1". The record is from RNAcentral.